Molecule: long non-coding RNA, 1091 nt
Organism: Antechinus flavipes (yellow-footed antechinus)
Lineage: Eukaryota; Metazoa; Chordata; Mammalia; Dasyuromorphia; Dasyuridae
Exons: 4
Source: RefSeq, a predicted model, not a curated record
AGGGCCAGCCCCAGUGUCAGUGGGCAGGGAAGGUCUCGGUCCGUGCUCCCUGGCGCUGAGCUUGAGCUCGCAGUCUGUGGAGGUGCUUUGUGGGGAGGGGGCACGAGGAAGGUCGGACCCACGGGAGCCAAUGAGAUCUUCAAGUGAGGCCCUGGAGAGGAAAAAAUAAAGCUGUCCCAGGAUGGAGCUUUGGGAUACGGUCAGUGGGAGAGACGUGGAUGAGAAGCUGGCAGGAGGCUGUGGAGCAGUCAGAAAAGUGGGACGGGAACCGGAAGAGACAAAGGUCACAGGAAUAAACAGGAAGGGAGAGACAAAGGUCACAGGGACAAAUGGGAAGGGAACUGGGAGGGACAAAGGUCACAGGGACAAAUGGAAAGGGAGAGACAAAGGUCACAGGGACAAAUGGGAAGGGAACCGGGAGAGACAAAGGUCACAGGGACAAAUGGGAAGGGAACCGGGAGAGACAAAGGUCACAGGGACAAAUGGGAAGGGAACCGGGAGAGACAAAGGUCACAGGGACAAAUGGGAAGGGAACCGGGAGAGACAAAGGUCACAGGGACAAACGGGAAGGGAACCGGGAGAGACAAAGGUCACAGGGACAAAUGGGAAGGGAGAGACAAAGAUCACAGAGACAAACGGGAAGGGAACCGGGAGAGACAAAGGUCACAGGGACAAAUGGGAAGGGAACUGGGGGAGACCAAGGUCACAGGGACAAACAGGAAGGGAACUGGGAGAGACCAAGGUCACAUGCAUCCAGAGAGGAGAGAAUAUUUAGCAAUGGUGGGUGGUCAUCAGGCGCAGAGAAGCCCACUGAGGAAGGAGGAAGGGUCAUCAGCUUUGCUCGUGAGAUCACUGGUGCAUUUGGAAAGAGCAGUUUCAGCUGGAGGGUGACCAGUUGACCCACACUUAUUAAGCUCUUCUGUACCAGACUCGGGGCUGCCCGCUGGAGAGGGAAAGAAAAAGCCAAAAAUAGUCAGGAACCAGAUUGCAGAAGGUUCAGGAGAGCAGGAGGAAAGGAGAGGUCAGAGAGCCAUUAAACCCUGAUGGUUUUCUGGGAAUUUGGCUGAGAAAAGGUGAGAGAGCUUGAGAAA